This 651-nucleotide ribosomal RNA is filed under the name Helicobacter pylori. Its description in RNAcentral is "partial 23S rRNA". It matches the Rfam family "Bacterial large subunit ribosomal RNA", at positions 698 to 1349 of the family's 2925-position model. The record is from RNAcentral. Lineage: Bacteria; Pseudomonadati; Campylobacterota; Epsilonproteobacteria; Campylobacterales; Helicobacteraceae.
AGUCAGAUGCUGCAGACCCGAAGCUAAGUGAUCUAUCCAUGGCCAAGUUGAAACGCGUGUAAUAGCGCGUGGAGGACUGAACUCGUACCCAUUGAAACGGGUUGGGAUGAGCUGUGGAUAGGGGUGAAAGGCCAAACAAACUUAGUGAUAGCUGGUUCUCUUCGAAAUAUAUUUAGGUAUAGCCUCAAGUGAUAAUAAAAGGGGGUAGAGCUCUGAUUGGGCUAGGGCUGCUCGCCGCGGUACCAAACCCUAUCAAACUUCAAAUACCUUUUAUCGUAUCUUGGGAGUCAGGCGGUGGGUGAUAAAAUCAAUCGUCAAAAGGGGAACAACCCAGACUACCAAAUAAGGUCCCUAAGUUCUAUUCUGAGUGGAAAAAGAUGUGUGGCUACUCAAACAACCAGGAGGUUGGCUUAGAAGCAGCCAUCCUUUAAAGAAAGCGUAACAGCUCACUGGUCUAGUGGUCAUGCGCUGAAAAUAUAACGGGGCUAAGAUAGACACCGAAUUUGUAGAUUGUGUUAAACACAGUGGUAGAAGAGCGUUCAUACCAGCGUUGAAGGUAUACCGGUAAGGAGUGCUGGAGCGGUAUGAAGUGAGCAUGCAGGAAUGAGUAACGAUAAGAUAUAUGAGAAUUGUAUCCGCCGUAAAUCUAAG